GGCCGGUUAUCUCAGCUGGUUAGAGUGUGGUGCUAAUAACGCCAAGGUCCCGGGUUCGAUCCCCGUAAUGGCCA
RNAcentral lists this transfer RNA (74 nucleotides) under Danio rerio (zebrafish). It matches the Rfam family "tRNA". From Rfam's summary of the family: Transfer RNA (tRNA) molecules are approximately 80 nucleotides in length. Their secondary structure includes four short double-helical elements and three loops (D, anti-codon, and T loops). Lineage: Eukaryota; Metazoa; Chordata; Actinopteri; Cypriniformes; Danionidae. The record is from Rfam by way of RNAcentral.